Molecule: long non-coding RNA, 2864 nt
Organism: Neofelis nebulosa (Clouded leopard)
Lineage: Eukaryota; Metazoa; Chordata; Mammalia; Carnivora; Felidae
Exons: 2
Source: RefSeq, a predicted model, not a curated record
ACCCACAACCAUAAGUGUGAAUUCAAACCCUCUCUUCACUGAUUUUCUGUACACUUGAUUUGGGAGAUUUGCAAAUCCCACAUAGCCUUCAAGGUUCUUCUACUCACCCAUGGUGCUGCUGUUGACGCUCCUCUCCUCAGCAGCAGCGGAUCUCGCACUGACCGACAUCCCCUCCCCCCUCCGCGACCAGCCCGGGCGCAGCGCAGCCCGCCGAUUCUCCAAAGCCGCCUACGCCGGUUCCGCGGCGUAGCCGCCCGGCGUCGCUGCCCCGCUUACGCAGGCGACAGCGGGCGGACUCCACCACUGGCUCUCGCCCGAAUCCCGCUCCCUCCUCCGCCCCCGCCCCUUCAGACAAGGCUUCCGGGCCUGGCCGACGCCAGUUUCGAUCUCGCGAGAGUACUCCCUCACCUCCCCGCCGCCUCUCUCCAUUUCGAACAUGACUUCAUUGGCAUCACUGCUCUUUUGCUGCUCAAGUUUAGCCGCCAUGUUUAAAUUGGCGGGAUUUGGCACCUCCGGGGUCGUGGAUAGUCGGGCCUCUGUGCGUGUUCCUGCAACACUGCUUCUGAGGUUAAACUGCGUUACGUUUCUCGGUGAAAAGCCCGGGGACGAUGAGAGGGAGUGACCGGUGGGCUGCGAGGGUGGGGUUUUGCCCGAUUUAAAGAUGGCCUCUGUCAGUGCCGCCCCGCUCAAUUUCACGUCAGGUUUUGGAGCUGCGGAAGCCGCCUGGUUGGCCUUAGGGCCUUCUUACGGAGUUGGCGUAAGGCAAAGAGGCACCCCUGGAAGAGGCCAGAUUGGGAAUCUGCGCUUGGGGCGGGAGCCGCGUCCAAGCCUCCACUCCCAGAUAACGACCUGGCGGCAUUGUGGGUGCGAGUGGAGAGACACUUCGAGGCAGGUGUCUGUGUCUUCAUCCAUCCCCGUGUCCUAGCUUCCGGGACUCUCGGGGUGGAAAGCGAGAUUAGGUCCUGGUUGCCCCCACAUUCCCUUGGCGCUGUCACUUUCUGGUGGCCUGGCACAGCGAAGAGGUCGCCUGCUGCAGCUUCCGCUGCGGACUCCCCACAGUUACACUCGUGUUAGCUCACCUUGUUGGUUACCGAUUCGCCCCUGGUGGAGCCCCACUCUGAUUAAGGAAAUGAAUGAACACGCGGGAAGCUAUUAGGCGACAGAUGAAGAGUAAUUAAGUACUAAAAGUGUGUAGUUUCAUACUGUAGCAGUGAAUGUCGUUUGGUCACUGGAGCCUGCCGCCAAAUGCUUAGUAGUCAAAGUAGUCUCACUUUGCCCAGAACAGCCUAUGGUCGUUUGUACCUUUCUUGAAAACUAAUGUCUGUCUUCGCUGUAGAGUUCAUGAACAUUAUCUUUCCUGUUAAAUUGUAUGUUAAGGAAUCAUAUACAUUUAAUAUAGAAUAUUACAUAAUACAGAAUACGUAUGUAAUAUAUAAUUAUCCUGAACCCGCGCAAGAAUGUUCAUAGCAGCAUUGCUUUUUUAGUGCAACAAUUUAAAUGUCGACUUACAGGAGAAUGGAUGAAUAAGUUGCAUUAUUGGGCAAACUGACAUACACGGAAUAUUAAAAAAUGGAAAUUAAUAAACCAAUGCUACUGGUGUUCAUUUAAAGUUCAUUAACAUAAUGUUGACCCAAAAAAGCAAGUUGCAAAAAGAUUUAUAUGGUACGUCAGAAAAGUUUAAAAACAAAAAACUGAGAUCAAAUUGGGAAAAUCACGUAGGGAAAUGAUAGAUGUAUUCAGAAUAGUGUUUAGUUCCUGAGAAGAAGAGAAGGGAAUGUAACAGGGAGGAUUCACUCUUAUCUAUAAUGUUUUAUUUUCUGCCAAAGGUAAUCUGUUGAAAAUGUGGCAAAACCUUAAAGCUUAGGUGAAGGAUACACGAGUAUUAAAUUGUAACUGUUUUCUGCACUCUUCUGUAUACUUGAAAUGUUUCCAAGUCUUUUUUUAUGAAGGAAAUUUUAUCCAAAGAAACACCUUAUUUUGUGUCUUGACAUCUACUGUUUCCUUAGCCUCCACUUGUACUGAAUUGCUCAUAACGUCUGUUAACAACUCAUCUGCCCAACCAAUCAUUGUGUUAAUUUUCUGAAACUUCAAAAGGGCAUUUUACUUGGGGAAAUUUCAUUAAAUUUCUACUUUGAAAAGGAACUAAGUAUUGCUGGAAGUUUAAACCUGUGGCCUCUGAAGACAGACUGCCUGGCUUCUAAUCUCCAUGCUACCAUUUACUAUGGAUAUACCCAAGGACAGGUUACUUAACCUUUAUGUAAUCUAGUUCCCUCCGCUAUAAAUGGGAAUAAUACUUACCUAAUUGGGUUUUUGUGAAAGUUAAAUAUGCCCAGUCCAUAGUAAAUACUUAGUAAAUGUUAUUUAUUAUAUACAGCUCAUUUUAAAAUAUAAAAUUAUCUUGUUUAAUAUAAUCUAACAGUCUAUAACAAAGAAAGUCUUUGCUUCCCAUCUCUAUUGAUAUAUUUAUUUAUUUUGGGGGGGUCUCUUAAUGGAAAUGAAAUUUUGUUAUUUUGCUCUCUGAAAGUAGAUAAAUUCUCUAUAUAAAUAAUAAGUAGCUUGCCUGAGGUUUGUUCAUGCUCUCCUACAAACUGCACCCCAUGCAAUAAAGCUUCACUACUUUCCAUUGAAAAUUAUGUGGAAGACUAUAUAGGCAAUGAGAUGAUGACAACCUAUGGAAUUUUGUCUAUAAGGAGUUCUAAUAGUGUUAUAAAUUGUGUGUGUAUGUGCAUGCAUGUGCACACAUAUAUAUUAUGAAUCUUAUGUUGGGGGUGGAGAGAGUAAGAGAAUUAUUAAAAUAGUUUUAUAAUCUCUACUGCACUGUCCACAGUAUUACAUUUGUUAAUAAAAUGUAGUCUAGACCUUAA